UGGGGAAUUUUGGACAAUGGGCGAAAGCCUGAUCCAGCAAUGCCGCGUGUGUGAAGAAGGCCUUCGGGUUGUAAAGCACUUUUGUCCGGAAAGAAAUCCUUGGCUCUAAUACAGUCGGGGGAUGACGGUACCGGAAGAAUAAGCACCGGCUAACUACGUGCCAGCAGCCGCGGUAAUACGUAGGGUGCAAGCGUUAAUCGGAAUUACUGGGCGUAAAGCGUGCGCAGGCGGUUUGCUAAGACCGAUGUGAAAUCCCCGGGCUCAACCUGGGAACUGCAUUGGUGACUGGCAGGCUAGAGUAUGGCAGAGGGGGGUAGAAUUCCACGUGUAGCAGUGAAAUGCGUAGAGAUGUGGAGGAAUACCGAUGGCGAAGGCAGCCCCCUGGGCCAAAUACUGACGCUCAUGCACGAAAGCGUGGGGAGCAAAACAGGAUUAGAUACCCUGGUAGUCCACGCCCUAAACGAUGUCAACUAGUUGUUGGGGAUUCAUUUCCUUAGUAACGUAGCUAACGCGUGAAGUUGACCGCCUGGGGAGUACGGUCGCAAGAUUAAAACUCAAAUGAAUUGACGGGGUCAUAGCUGUUUCCU
This 587-nucleotide ribosomal RNA is filed under the name uncultured bacterium. Its description in RNAcentral is "partial 16S ribosomal RNA". It matches the Rfam family "Bacterial small subunit ribosomal RNA", at positions 355 to 1375 of the family's 1533-position model. The record is from RNAcentral.